RNAcentral lists this transfer RNA (77 nucleotides) under Aurantimicrobium minutum. Its description in RNAcentral is "tRNA-Lys". It matches the Rfam family "tRNA". From Rfam's summary of the family: Transfer RNA (tRNA) molecules are approximately 80 nucleotides in length. Their secondary structure includes four short double-helical elements and three loops (D, anti-codon, and T loops). Lineage: Bacteria; Bacillati; Actinomycetota; Actinomycetes; Micrococcales; Microbacteriaceae. The record is from RNAcentral.
GGGCCUCUAGCUCAGUUGGUUAGAGCAUCGGACUUUUAAUCCGAGGGUCGUGGGUUCGAUCCCCACGGGGCCUACCA